UCCUCUUGUAAGACUUAAGAAAAAUCAAGCAUCUGUUCUGAUCCGUUGGGUUGAAUGAAAGCUAGGUAGAACUCAAGAGCCUAACAUAACAGGGGAUUUUGAAGAGGCAAGGAGGGUUUGUGGGCAGAGGUGGAGAGUCUGGGGCCUUGGAUAAUCUAUAGCCAUCCCCCGAGGCAAGUGCUGUGCAGCCCUCUCCCAGGAGGUGGCUCUGUCACUGGGGGUCAUGGGUGGCCUAGAGGAUCAGCUGCCUCCACACCCCUGCCCUCACACAUGGCAGUUGCUCCAAAGCUGAAAUCAUCUGAGGCCCCGAGUGUCUGUAACAUGUCGAGCUUCCCUUAUGGAGCCUGGGCUUGUGCCCCAGGAGGCAAAUCUCAGCUCAGGAGCCAGGAUAUUAGUGCAAAGCUGUGCCCCCUUCUGCAAGCUACUAUUUUCCUUUUGAGAAAUGGCUCAGGCCUUUCAUGAGCUGGUGGGCCCCGGGGGAGACUGAAAGCCUGACGUGAGGCACCUGGGGACCAUGUGAUGCGAGCUGAAUGCUAUCUGACCUUGCUACAAAGUCAGGUGUGCCCAGCAGCAUCUGUCGUCAAGGAGAGAAGGCACUCGUGGGAGAGGGAUGGGCCCAAACACGUCCUGAAGCCCAGGCGAGCUGCUGAGCAGGCAGCUCAUUCCCCAGAGUCCCUUCUCGGCUUCUAGCUGCCCCUCCCUCCACCCACACCUCAGACUCAGGUCCCUGGGACCAGUUGCACAAUGAUUGAAAACUGUGCCAUGCAAAGAGCUCGGGGGACACUCACAGCAACACUCGUGGACACUGGAACUCACAGGCAGAGUUCCAGCAGGCCCCAGGGCCCUGACAGAGGCUGGAGGCACCAUGGGGCAGAGGGACCCUGGUCUCCGCCAUGUUCUCCCUUUUCAUAGGCGAGUAUGAGAAUGACCUUGGGGGUGGUGCAGUGAGGCGAAGGAAUGCUAAGCAGUCUAAACUUGAACGUCAGCUGUUUGGGAAAGUGCUGGCCUGCAGCCUUGGCCCCUGUGCCUCCACCUCACCCUCAUCCCGUGGGAGGUUGAGUUCAGGCACAGCCUCUCCUUCAGGGACAGAGAGCCAUCGGUCUGGCUUGCUAGUUGCCAGGCAACCCAGGAUGAGCCUUCGAGGUCAUUUCUCAGACGAUUCUGAGCUCUCCCCACAGCCUGUUAACAGAUGGUCUCACAAGCAGCCAGCCCCAGCCAGAAAUCGAUUGCUGCGGCCGUGCUGCCUGUCGCCAGCAGCCACAGUGACGAGAAACCUUUCCAGGGCUUCCAGCACUACAUUUUGUUGUUCACUUUGCGUGCAAGGAGAGGCAGCCUGAGGUCAGGCUUUAUGUCAGCUCUGGGCAGCGGCUGGUGGUCUCACCAGGCGGGCAGGGGCUUGGAAGGGGGCAGACUGGAGGAUUGGUGACAACGAAGUGCUGUGUGAUGGGACUCUCAGCAUGUGUCCAGAUUGCGAGAGAAUGCUUGUGAUUGUCCGCCAAAGGGCACCCCUUGAAAGGAGGCUCGUAACAAUCAGGGGACACCUGUGGAUGUCAUCAUCUUCCCUUCUCUGUUUUUAGGACCUAGACAAAAUUCAAGAAGAUAUCUCCGCUUCGGUGGGGUAUUACUUUUGACACUUCUAAUUGCAAUGAGACUUACAUUUUAGGAGAAGAGAUACAGACCAUUCAUGGGCUUCUCCCUGUCCCAUCAUCCUGAUCUAAGAUAAUGCCAAGCAACAUUCCGCGUUAUUCCCUGGGGACAGAAUCGGUCAUAAGUAGGUCGACUCCUACUCAUUUGAGGUAGCACCUGAGGUGAAAACCCAGCAUUCUUGCUUUAUUUGAAGCAUAAAAAGCUUCAACUUUUUAAUAGAAAUGUUAAACAGCAAGCCAGCACUUUUUUUUCCAGGACAAGGACAAAUUCCCGUAAGAAUUUUGCAAACAUCACAUGUUCUCUUUCUCCUUGUUGCAAUAUGUAUAAUUUAUCUUCUGGUAUAACUUGCUUAAUAGUCACAGUUUGUUAAUUCCAUCUGCUUCCCAAGAGGAGGACAAAUUGUUACAUGGCAAUGCCUUGGGUUCCGAGAGUCCGCCAUAAGCCACAGCUGGUCAAGAACCUAACCAAGGGAGGGGCAGCAGUUUGUCCGCCUGCAAUAGAUCCUUAUUGUGAAGUUGAAUUUGCUUUCUCAUCCUCUGUCUGCCUCCCUCUGCACCUCCAUUCAUAAACUGACUGAAUGACGCAGUCGAACACAGCAUUGCCUCCCACCGAGAAGCUCAUGUUUCUGUGAAGACUGAAGACAUACACCAAUAGGCCAGUGCCCAUGGGAUUUACCUGUCUUUCCUUGUACCCAUCGCCCAGGACUAGGUGGCCUUAAAGCAUGGUGGAAUGCCCUAUUGCAGGCCCAGUUACGGUGUGAGCUGAGAGACACCACCUCGUGAGACCCACUGGUCUGCAGAUUAUGGAGUAUGCUCUGAACCAGUAACAACCUGUGAUGCUAGUUCUCCUGGAGUCAAAUAUGUGGGUGUGGGAGCCAGCGCCGGGAUGUUGGAGUGGUACAUACUUAGUACUCAGGGGAGAACUGGGUCUUGCAAGAGAUGCUAAAAUGACUCCUCUGAAGUGGAAGCCGAGACUGUCACUGGCCACUGAGAAAACAGUUAAUAAGCCCCCAUACUUUCCACCCUGGACUGAGAGAUUCCUGCUCCUGGGUUCAACUCUUGCUGUCCUCCUUCCUGAAGUCCCCCUCGCGUACACCCUGGGGGCUAAGCAGGUGGGUUUCAACUCUCCACAAGUGUCCCCUCCCACCCCCAUCCUUUCCCUGAGCACAGAGUGCAGCAUAUAGUGAGACCUCAAAAAGUGUUCCUUAAUGGAAAAUUGCUCUCCUGGCUCUCACGUUAUCCUUAUACUGAGCUUAUGACAUGGGCAGAAAUUAGGAAACACACACACACACACACUGGUGCAUGCACACCCACACAUGUGCUCUGGGCCUAUUUGCUGAAUUGCAUGGGGGCAGCUAAGCCUUAGUUUCCUUACCUGUAAAACGGGCACCAUGUCAGAUUGUCUCCAUGUGCUAGUACAGGCCCACCCUUCACCUUUCUUCAUUCUGCACUUGUCAGCGGAGGCUGACCUUUCCCAAGGCUUCAGCUCUCACCAAGUUCCAGGACCUUCCCUUGCUCCCCAGGUGGUUAAGCUUCCUGCUGCUAGUCCCAGUGCUUCACUAGCCUCUCUCAGCUCCUUUACCUCUGCCCACCACUUUGUAAUAGUCCCUUCAUCAAUCCCUUUUCAAGCACCCCUUUGAGCAUGCCCUCUGUUUCCAUCCAGGGCCGUGACUGCUACAAUUGGUACCAGAAUAGCCCUGGGAAACAAAUCCUUGGAUGGGACCUGGGUUGGGUUUCUCACACAUCUUGAUUAGUGCGUGGAUAGCCUCCUUGAUGGGGGUAAUGGACAGUGGUAAUCUGUGGCAUGCAGUGGCAUCACAGUUACUUUGUGACAGGUGGUGGCAAGAGAUGGACUGGUAAGAUGCUGGGAGAUCAAGUAGCUAUGACACUUAGUCACUAUGGUGACAGUAGUGAUUAUAGACUGCAGUGGCCUUCUGACUCUACAAGUGAUUGCCCUAGGAAAUACACACAAAGAAAAAAAUGGAUUAAAAGCCUUAAGCUGGGCUAUACUGGGAUAUAAUUCUCAGUAUGGGCCUGGAGGCAAUGAGAGGUGAUGAGGGUAUGUCCUGAGGAAAAUCAGCUUUCCUGUGAGGCAGCUGCCCCAAGAGAGAUCACUUGAAUGGUUGAGAGAUCAACUUGAAUGGUUUUUAUGUGAGGAAAGGCUAGUUUCCUCAGACAAAGCAGGGGGGUUGCUGCCUUCACCAACAAGGAGGAUUCAAGGGGUGUUGGGGUUCAAAGUUCUACCCAAAUGUCCCCAUUCCAUGUCUGGGGGUCCCAUUCCUUCUUACCCAGUGCUGCUCCCUUAGCACAAGAUACUUGGUGGAGUUGCACAUUUCAUUGGCUUUGCAACCCUGGAAACCUGACAGUCAGCGCCUGGGCUUGGUUCUCUGGUAGCCCUUUGGCUACCAAAGAGCAGAUUCCUUCAGAGCCACCCUAGAGGCUUUCUAAACUUCCACCCUUGCACUGAGUCAUGAGUUCAAGGCUUUCAGUCUUUUCUGACCCAGAGCGGAUCCAACAGAACCACAGACCCAUCCUGUGUCUGUACAUGAACUGGCAGAAUCCCCCUGCUGAUUUCCUGACUCAUGGAGUGAGCUCUUAUCAGAGAAGGGCCCUGAACUGCAACUUCACCACCGUCAGAAUAGCAAACCAAAUGCAAUACUACAUCCCUAAGGAAAUUUCAGAAAUUAGUGCUACCAUCAAAAAUCUGAAACAUGUAGAGGUUGUCAUUCCUAUCAAGACUCGGUUUAACUCACCUAUUUGGCUGCUACAGAAACCAGUUGGGUCUUGGGAAAUGACUAUAGAUUACUGUAAAGUUAAUUAGGUGUGAUGUCAAUUGCAGCUGUGGUUCUAGACAUGAAAUUUUUACUGGAACAAAUCCAUGCAUCUCUUGGUCUGGUGUAAAUCUUUGACCCCAAAUGCUUUCUUUUCUAUUCCACUCGGUACAGAUAAUCAGAAAUAGUUUGCCUUUGUGUAGCUGGGACAGUAGAUAUCUUUACUACCUUGAGGCUUUGCCUACUUUCCUGAUUUCUGUCAUAAUAGAGUGCAAAGGGAUACUGAUUAUCUUGUUAGAGUUCAUAACAUUAUGCUGGCCCAUUAUAUUGAUGACAUUCUGGUAAGUGGGCCUAAUGAGCAGGAAAUUGCAAGCACUUUAGAUUCUUGGUAGAACCUACGUAUGCCACAGGAAGGAUGAUAAAUCCCACACAAAUUCAGAGGCAUGUCAUGUCAGUGAGCUUUCUAGGGUAUCCAGUGGUCUGGGGCAUGUCAGGAUCUCUCUUCUAAAAUGAGAGACAAGCUGCUGCCCGCUACAAAGAAAGAGGCAAAAUGUUUGAUGGGACUCUGGAUUUUUGAGGUGACAUAUGCCACAUUUGCCAGUGCUGUUCUACCCAUUUCCUGGAAAACGCAUAAGACUGCAAGUUUUGAGUGAGGCCUGCAGCAACAUAAGACUCUGCAGUGGGUCCAGACUGCAGAGCAAGCUGCCCUGUCACAUGAGCUUUAUGAUUUGGAAGUGACUAGGGCAGAAAAAGAUGCUGUAUGGACAAGCUCCAAUAGGAGAGUCACAGUGCAGUUACAGACCCUUAGGGUUUUGGAUUAAUUCAUACUCUCUUCUGCCAAUAACUAUUCUCCAUUUAAAAACAGCUCCUGGCUCACAACUGAACAUGGAAGAGGCUGAAUGCCUGACUGUGGGACACCAAGUGACCCAUGCAACCAGAACUGGAUAUUAUCUGACCCAUCAAAUCAUAAAAUUGGACAUGCAUGGUAGCAUUCUAUUAUUAAAGAGUGUAUAUGAGAUCAGGUCUGAGCAGUCCAGAAGGCACAAGGAAAUUGCAUGAGCAGGUGGCUCAAAUUCCCAUGGUAUCUACUCUUUUUUUUUUUUUUUAAAGA
This is a non-coding RNA of Equus caballus (horse), 5528 nucleotides long. NCBI's taxonomy places the organism in Eukaryota, Metazoa, Chordata, Mammalia, Perissodactyla, Equidae. The record is from RefSeq and is a predicted model, not a curated record.